UUAUUUUCAAAAUAAACAACCUUCAAGCAUAAAUAGGCUUAAAACUAAUUAAAGACAUGUCUUCAACACCCCCAGCAGUGAAUAAGAAUAUAGAUGCAAUAUAUCUAUUCUUGAAGUUGCAAGAGGCUAGUUAACUUUUAUAUUCCCAUUUCUCUCUUUCUUGAUGAGCUUGCUUUUGUUGAGAAUCCAAGGAGGAGACUUUGGCAGAAUGGCCUUUUUUGAACACCCGCUGGAAGAAGCAACCACUGGAUGAAGAAGAGUUGUUGCUUAUUUCCUUUGCAUCAACAGCAAAAACUCCUUUCUCUGCUGCUUCUUUCUUCAUCUUUUCCUUGUGCAGCUUUCUCAUGGUGUAAGCUUCCGCCAAAGUACACCCUACAAAACCAGCACCUGUUGCCAUGCCUGGAAAGACUAGCUAGCUAGAGGAUCGAUCAAAGUGUGGCUAAAAUUAGAGUCGUAG
RNAcentral lists this unclassified non-coding RNA (457 nucleotides) under Hevea brasiliensis (rubber tree). The record is from RNAcentral. Lineage: Eukaryota; Viridiplantae; Streptophyta; Magnoliopsida; Malpighiales; Euphorbiaceae.